CCUACGGGGGGCAGCAGUGGGGAAUAUUGGACAAUGGGGGGAACCCUGAUCCAGCGACGCCGCGUGAGUGAAGAAGUAUUUCGGUAUGUAAAGCUCUAUCAGCAGGGAAGAAAGAAAUGACGGUACCUGACUAAGAAGCCCCGGCUAACUACGUGCCAGCAGCCGCGGUAAUACGUAGGGGGCAAGCGUUAUCCGGAUUUACUGGGUGUAAAGGGGGCGUAGACGGCGAUGCAAGUCUGAAGUGAAAGGCGGGGGCCCAACCUCCGGACUGCUUUGGAAACUGUAUGGCUGGAGUGCAGGAGAGGUAAGUGGAAUUCCUAGUGUAGCGGUGAAAUGCGUAGAUAUUAGGAGGAACACCAGUGGCGAAGGCGGCUUACUGGACUGUAACUGACGUUGAGGCUCGAAAGCGUGGGGAGCAAACAGGAUUAGAUACCCUUGUAGUC
Molecule: ribosomal RNA, 443 nt
Filed under: uncultured bacterium
Lineage: Bacteria
Description: partial 16S ribosomal RNA
Rfam family: Bacterial small subunit ribosomal RNA
Source: RNAcentral